AACUUUAUUUCAAAAAAUUGUUUAAUUUUAAAUGAAAAAUAUUUUAUUUUAUUUUAAAAUGUAAAAAACAAUAUAAAAGAAAAUCCGCAGCAAAAGCCACAGACAAUUUUCCUGUGCAAAGACUACCUGCACAGAAAAAUAUGAUAAUUUGCAAACUUUGCAAGAAAAACCGCAGGUUCUCGUGCGGAAUUUGCUGCCAAGAC
Molecule: long non-coding RNA, 203 nt
Filed under: Lathyrus oleraceus (garden pea)
Lineage: Eukaryota; Viridiplantae; Streptophyta; Magnoliopsida; Fabales; Fabaceae
Description: Pisum sativum (pea) long non-coding RNA (PSAT_LNC010344)
Source: RNAcentral